RNAcentral lists this ribosomal RNA (546 nucleotides) under Dacrymyces puniceus. Its description in RNAcentral is "eukaryotic LSU rRNA". It matches the Rfam family "Eukaryotic large subunit ribosomal RNA", at positions 76 to 668 of the family's 3401-position model. Lineage: Eukaryota; Fungi; Basidiomycota; Dacrymycetes; Dacrymycetales; Dacrymycetaceae. The record is from RNAcentral.
UUCCCUAGUACUGCGAGUGAGCGGGAAAAGCUCAAAUUUAAAAUCCUUCGGGAGUUGUAAUCUAUAGAAGUGUUUUCGGUCGUUGCCUCGGACAAGUCUCUUGGAACAGAGCGUCAUAGAGGGUGAGAAUCCCGUCCUUGCCGAGCUCCCAACGUCUAUGUGAUACACUUUCAAAGAGUCGAGUUGUUUGGGAAUGCAGCUCAAAAUGGGUGGUAAACUCCAUCUAAAGCUAAAUAUUGGCGAGAGACCGAUAGCGAACAAGUACCGUGAGGGAAAGAUGAAAAGCACUUUGGAAAGAGAGUUAAACAGUACGUGAAAUUGUUGAAAGGGAAGCGCUUGGAGUCAGUCGCGUUGCAAGGACUCAGCCUCACGGUGUAUUUCUUUGCAACGGGUCAACAUCAGUUUCGACCGCGGAAAAAGGGCUUGAGGAAUGUGGCAACCUCGGUUGUGUUAUAGCCUCCUGUCGUACGCCGCGGUUGGGACUGAGGUCUGCUUACAGGAUGUUGACGAAAUGGCUCUAAGCGACCCNUCUUGAAACACGGACCA